RNAcentral lists this ribosomal RNA (459 nucleotides) under uncultured bacterium. RNAcentral describes it as "partial 16S ribosomal RNA". It matches the Rfam family "Bacterial small subunit ribosomal RNA", at positions 338 to 795 of the family's 1533-position model. The record is from RNAcentral.
CCUACGGGAGGCAGCAGUGAGGAAUAUUGGUCAAUGGGCGGGAGCCUGAACCAGCCAUGCCGCGUGAAGGCGAGUGCCCUACGGGCGUUAAACUUCUUUUGUGCGGGAGCAAUAAGGGCCACGCGUGGCCCGAUGAGAGUACCGCACGAAUAAGCAUCGGCUAACUCCGUGCCAGCAGCCGCGGUAAUACGGGGGAUGCGAGCGUUAUCCGGAUUUAUUGGGUUUAAAGGGUGCGAAGGCGGCGCUUCAGGUCAGCGGUGAAAUACCGGGGCUCAACCCCGGGGCUGCCGUUGAAACCGGAGCGCUAGAAUUCCGAUGCCGUCGGAGGAAUGUGUGGUGUAGCGGUGAAAUGCAUAGAUAUCACACAGAACACCGAUUGCGAAGGCAGCAUGCCGGCUCCACACUGACGCUGAGGCACGAAAGCGUGGGUAUCGAACAGGAUUAGAUACCCGUGUAGUC